UAACGCGAAGAACCUUACCAGGUCUUGACAUCCUUUGACCACUCUAGAGAUAGAGCUUUCCCUUCGGGGACAAAGUGACAGGUGGUGCAUGGUUGUCGUCAGCUCGUGUCGUGAGAUGUUGGGUUAAGUCCCGCAACGAGCGCAACCCUUAUUACUAGUUGCCAGCAUUAAGUUGGGCACUCUAGUGAGACUGCCGGUGACAAACCGGAGGAAGGUGGGGACGACGUCAAAUCAUCAUGCCCCUUAUGACCUGGGCUACACACGUGCUACAAUGGAUGGUACAACGAGUUGCGAGACCGCGAGGUUUAGCUAAUCUCUUAAAACCAUUCUCAGUUCGGAUUGUAGGCUGCGACUCGCCUACAUGAAGCCGGAAUCGCUAGUAAUCGCGGAUCAGCAUGCCGCGGUGAAUACGUUCCCGGCCUUGUACACACCG
This 433-nucleotide ribosomal RNA is filed under the name uncultured bacterium. Its description in RNAcentral is "bacterial SSU rRNA". It matches the Rfam family "Bacterial small subunit ribosomal RNA", at positions 957 to 1392 of the family's 1533-position model. The record is from RNAcentral.